GGGGUCCUGGCGGGAUGGGGGCCAGAGGGAGGGAGGGGAGAAGGGGCGCGGGAGCGGGCGGAACCUCAGGAAGAGGGCUGAGAAAGGGCAGUGACCCUGGGCAAGGUCACUAGUGGGCCUGGGCCUGGGAUGCAGGCAGUGUGACUGGGAGGCCUGCCUGAGCUUGUCCCACCAUCUCAGGUUUCGAGCAGAUCCCUCUGGGCCUGGGUUGGCCUGUGUCCCUGAGGAGGCCCCCUCUGCCCCGCAGCCGCAGCCCCCACCCAGCCCGAGGUGGGCGGAGAGGCCUCCGUCUCAGGCAGGCGCAGCACCUGCCCAGGGGCUCCAUAAAUGUCUGACUUAAUCGGAGCCAGGCAAGGGCUGCUGCGGGCUCAGAUGCCAGCUCCCUUGCCCUCUGAGGAGGAUGCGAAGUCACCAGUGGGCUUUCCCUGUCUUGGCCCUGUACACUGAGAACUGGGGGCAGGUGUCGGCGCUGUGCAUUGUUUCUGUUAUUCCAUAACUGUGGAGUGAUCACCUACUAUGUGCUAGGCACUGUUCUAGGUGCUGGGGAUACAGCGGGGAACUAAAAAGACAAAAUUCCUGCCUUAGUGGAGCUUAUAUUUUAGUCGGGAUAAAUAAGCAAAAUAAACGAGAAGGUAAAAUUGGCUAUUUGAAGAAACAGAGCAGGGUAGAGUGAGGAGAAUGAAGAGCUGAGGAGGUGGAGGGUGUUGCAGUUUUAAAUGGGACGGUCAAGGAUGGCCUCACUGAGAUGACAUUUGACAAAGACUUGAAGGAAGUGAGACAGAGCCAUGAGGAUAUCCCUGGGGAAGAGCAUUCGAGGCAGAGGAAACAGCAAGUACAAAGGUCCUGAGAUCUUUUUGGUGAGGCGUAUUUUGGGCAUAUUUGGUGAGUUGGAGGAAAAGCAAAGAGACCAGAGCGGCUGGAGUGGAGUAACUGGGAGGAGGGAAAUAGGAGAGCUCACAGGUGGGAGUAGGUGUUGUCGUUCAUGUAGGGUCUUGUGGGCCAUUAUAAAGACUUUGGCUUUUAUUCUGGUGAAAUGGGGCGUCCGUGCAGGGCUUUUAACAAAAGAGUGUCUUGGUCUGACCUACAUUUUAGGAAUAUCAGUGUGGCUGCAGUGCUGAGAAUACUGCUAAUAGUUCAGGAAAGAGAUGGUGGUGGAUGGACCAGGGUGAUAGCUGCGGGGGUGGGGAGUGUAUUGGAUGCUGGAUACUGCAUCUGAGGAUGGAGCUGACAGUCUGGAAUGCCAGGGAGGAGGAAGCAUCAAGUCAUAAUCAGCAUCAUCCCUUCUAGGGGUACCUGACUCUAGCUUUCCAAGAGUUCUCACAUGCAGGUUCGUCUCUCAUCCCCUGGCAGCCUUGAGGCUGUUCUUGGGAAGAACAGAUGUUGUGGACCCUGCUGACCAAUGAGGAAGCUGAAACUCAGGCUGUAAGAGAUGUGAGAAGGGAAGAUGAAGAGAUGCCUUCUGACGACCAGCAUAACCUCAGGCACUCCCAAAGACCUAUGGCUGAUAAGUUCCAAGAUAAGGCCUGUGUCUUCAUGAGGGCAGAGUGAAGCCGGAAUCCUGCCUCAGCAUGUGCUGCCUGGGCAGUGGCUUUCGCCUCUCCAUGCCUAGAGACAUACCGGUGAUGGCAUGAGGAGACGGUCCCCAAAUUGUCUUCCGGGCAUUGGUAUUACAGGUUUGACAAUGAUGUGGAAAACCACACCCUGUAGGCCGAAUCCAGCCUUGAGGCCUGGUGAUACCCGGCAGGAAAGAAGCGAAGUGGAAGAUGGCUCAGGAAGUCUGACUCCAGGCUAAUUCCUUGAGGAAAGCUGGCUUGCCAGGAGCGGUGGAGGCAAGCUGUUGGCUCAGAGUGAAGAAUUGCUAUUGUCUGAGAGAGGCCAUGGAGCUGCAUUUGCUGAGUUCCAGUGGCCGCUGGGGCAUUUGGUUCCUGAAAUCAGAGAAGAGCUUUGAUUUUUCUCUCAGAGACCCUUGGGGAUCAAGACUUAGCUCCUGGCAGGAUCACCUCCUGCAUGAUCGCCAGAAUUCCUGGGCCCUAGUCGGGAUGCAGUUUCCCAGGGCUUCUUUCCCACCGCAGGCCUGAUCAGCAGAUGCUCCUGCUGCCCAGGGAGGUGUGGGAGGGCACCGAGGAGAAACUUCACUGACAUCAUGAUUUUCCGAGACCAGGCCUGAACUAGUUCCUGGUGGUUGAGAAUGUCAGGGCUGGAGGGAAGCGCCUGAGAGCAGACAGUCAAGCAGCACAGAGAAGGAAACCAGGACAGGACCUCAAGGAGAUGCGUCUGCCGUCUGGAAGAAGAUUUCUGAAAAUACAAAACAUGAUGUCAAGGGGGAGCAAUCUCUGAGGGUCUUUUCUCCAGACUAUGGUAUCUUUGGAAUGGAAACCACACAGCUGCAUGAUGAUGCAGGAGGUUGCCAGAUUUCAUUCCAUGGUCCUGACCGCAGUCCAGGUUUGAUCGUCAGCUAUUUAACACACAAGAAGCAGACGAUGUUUAUGACUUCAGACAGCGGCCUUGAUUUCACAGAGAAAAUAGGAAAGCUUAUUAUUUUGCACAUGAACCGUGAGAAGCAGACCAGCUUACUCCCACGAAGGCUGGUCACCUGGUGCCCUGAUGAAGAUUUCUCAGAGGGAAUGUGUGGCCCCUCAUCCCAGUGGCUACCUAGUCACUUCUCAAGAAAGUACAGUGCUCUGAUGACUGGGCGGACGUGCGCGGCCUCUGACUGCGGCCGUGGUGAUGUUCUCUCACACUGUAAAGGGGAGGAACGGGCCCCAGCAUGGAGACUGAUGGAAUCAACACGACUCUGCUGUAAUUUGCAUUCCUUUCUUUCUCAAGGAUGGAAAUUAAUAUUUGGCAUCUAUGAGCCUUUUUUCGAACUUAUCUAAGAAUAAAACCCUCAUUGUUGGAUGCCAUGUCUUGAUAAUAAAUGGCAACAUUAUUCCAUUAUUCUGCAACGCCACAGGGACUCGCCCGGCCCAGGGCGGGUGAAGGUUGGGGGAGGGAAGAGGAGCUUCCUGGGUGAAGAGGCCUCAGCAACACGAAGCCAGGUUGAGGUAUUUCAUCCUCGCUGCUCACAUCAGAGCACAACAGUGUUUUGACCCGUGGGAAAGCACUUUGAAAACAUCUGCCUUUCCAUUUUUCUUCUCUUUGAUUUCACUGAAUUCAAUUCCAUACGUGGUUAUUAAGCAGCUACUAAAUAUCAGGAUGGUGCUGAAUUCCCUCCCUCUCCAUCCCAACCAAGCAAACAAAAGAGGAGGAGGAUGUCCCUGUCCUCCUGGAGGUUGGGAUCUGCUGGGGAGACAGACGGAUGUUUAAAAUGGCCAGACAAGAACACAGGCCAGAGCAGAUCAGCUGCGGAGUGGCCAUUGAUGUCGUUUCUGCCUAUCUCCAGUCUCUAUCUUCUGGUUCCGUCCCAUUUGGCUUUCGAGGAAUCGCCUCAAACCAGCAUCAUUCAGGGCCUGUCGGGGGAGAUGCCAGCCCUCCUCCAGCCAGGGCUGGGCACGUGGCCGCCAGGCAGCUCGACCCUCCUCCCAGGCCGGUGAGUCUUGCCUGGAGGGACACAAGGAUAAAGGAAGAGGAAACACACUCACACAUACUCAUUCACAUCCCUCUUCAGACUGUUCAGCACAGAGGCCCAGAUGAGACAGCCCACCUCCUUUUGUUCCCCAGACCCCAAGGGUCAGCCCAGGUUCCUGCCUGUUCCAAGCCAGCUUCUGUGUUCCUUUGGUUCUGUGGUUCUCCUAUUUCCUGUCAUCCAUUCCCUUUGUGCUCAGAGGUAGUUUUUGUUGCUUUCAAACAAAGAACCUGAGUGGGACACCUGGCAAGUUAUUUUUAUGUCCAUCAGAGUUGGAAAAGAUUAGAGAACAUGACUAGCGCUCAGGGAGACUGACAGAACUGUCCAGAGCCCAGACUCAGACAGAGAAAUGCUGGCCCUGCAGCUGUGAACUCUGAAAACAGAAGAAAGACUGCCUGAAAUAUAGAGAGCAUGGAACCCUUCUGUGUUGGUCAGAUGAACAGAGAUCUUUAUUUUAUUUUAUUUUUGAGGAAGAUUAGCUCUGAGCUAACAUCUGCUGCCAAUCCUCCUCUUUUUGCUGAGGAAGACUGGCUCUGAGCUAACAUCCACACUCAUCUUCCUCUACUUUAUAUGUGGGACGCCUGCCACAGCAUGGCUUGCCAAGCGGUGCAGUGUCCGCACCCGGGAUCUGAACUGGCAAACCCUGGGCCACCAAAGCGGAACGUGCAAACUUAACCACAGCGCCAUGGGGCCAGCUCCUGAACAGAGAUCUUAAUAUCGCCUCCCUGCUCUUCACCCCCUGCAUGCUCAGUACAGGACAUCCCACACAGUGGGAGUCACUGCUCAGAGGAAGCCUGUGGAUGGAUUCAGUUCCAUAGGUCACUCAUUGUGCCAGGUCCACGAGCCCCCAAAGGCCUGGCGGCCUGUCUGAACUCCGUACAUCUGCUAACCACCCUGGGGAUCAUCUGGGUUAAAAUCUUAAUCCUCAGGCAGCCUCCUCUCACCACCCCGUGUGCUCAGAGGGGGCUGUCUCCCCUACCAGUUGUUAAGGGAAUGUUUCAAAACUGGUUUGAACAAAAUGACUGAGGUGCUGUCUGUUGCUUGUGGCUCUCUGUCUCCUUGUAUCUCUGUCCCUCUCCUCCAGGUUAUGUAAUCAAGAACUGGCUGCUCUUUGCCGGGGGGACUAGGCCUACGUUGCCUUUUACAAAUCAUUAUGAAAUAUCUCCAACAUACGACAAGGCUUCAGGAAUACUACUGUGAACACCUGUGUGCUACCACUAAGCUCAAGAAAUAACACAUUAGGAACACAGUUGGGGCUCCUGUAAAUGCCUGCCAAGAGAGCCCCAGACUCUAACCCAGAGCUUUGCAGCUUCUCAUAGGUUUGGGAUCAAUAGCAGUUCAAGACGGGCCGCAGCUACACACAGCUUCUGUCUCCACUCAGGUCUACAAGAUUAAUAAUUAUUGUCCAGAUGACUAUAUUUCUCUGCAUCCAGAAUGAGUCACCAGUGGCAAGAUCAACACGGGCAGGCCUGUGUGGGGAGCUGAAAUUUUGGCUGUGCCCCCUUCUCAUCCUAAUAAUAACCACACAGUCGAGGUGGGGGGUGUUAUGACAUAUUGCCCAGACCCAUGACCUUCCCCUCUGCGCGGACCUCCUACAGAGCCACCACGCCCAACUUCUUCAGGCCGUGCUGGCUCUUCCCCCUCUUGGCUCCCUCUUUAAGCUCUGUAGUAUAUUACUGGCCUUAGGCCCUCCCUCAAUGUUUGUAAUCUAUGAAUAACUACUGUAAUUUUUGAGUAGCAGACACGUUAUACAGAAUUUACAGUAUAAAGAAUUACCCCAAAGAAUGUUCCAGUCUUCUACAGCCUGAGGGCCUGUUACAGAAGGAAACUGACUAAAGGAUUACAGUAACCUUAUCCUUAUUUUGCAGAUGGGGAAACUGAGGCCCAGAGAGCCCUGACCCCACAAUGGCGAGAACUUGGGCAGUAUUGGGGGUAGGGGUAUUAAACUUGCUGAGAAGGUGGGAUUUGAGGCAGAGUUCUGCCCAGACCUUCCACCAGGCUGAUGCUGACGUUCUGCCAGGCUAAUCCCUCCACUGUUUGGUGGUUUUUAGCCACUCGUGGUCAUGCUACAUUGUUCAAUGGAGGGACGCAGGGUGGCCUUAGUCUGUUUCCUGUGAGUUCUCCACGAGUACCAACUGCAGCCUCCAACUAACAAUUUGCAAAGUACUGACUGGUAUGUUGGUACAAUUUGCAAAGUACUGACUGGUGGUUUUGCUCAGCUGUAUCAUCUGUGACUAUGACAGUCUGAUAGAAUAA
Molecule: long non-coding RNA, 5821 nt
Filed under: Equus caballus (horse)
Lineage: Eukaryota; Metazoa; Chordata; Mammalia; Perissodactyla; Equidae
Description: lncRNA (ENSECAG00000043865.1)
Source: RNAcentral